RNAcentral lists this ribosomal RNA (253 nucleotides) under uncultured bacterium. Its description in RNAcentral is "partial 16S ribosomal RNA". It matches the Rfam family "Bacterial small subunit ribosomal RNA", at positions 524 to 776 of the family's 1533-position model. The record is from RNAcentral.
UACAGAGGUGGCAAGCGUUGUUCGGAAUUACUGGGCGUAAAGGGCGCGUAGGCGGCCAUCUAAGUCAGACGUGAAAUCCCCCGGCUUAACCUGGGAACUGCGUCUGAUACUGGAAGGCUUGAGUAUGGGAGAGGGAUGUAGAAUUCCAGGUGUAGCGGUGAAAUGCGUAGAUAUCUGGAGGAAUACCGGUGGCGAAGGCGGCAGCCUGGACCAUUACUGACGCUGAGGCGCGAAGGCUAGGGGAGCAAACGGG